Paramuricea clavata is the source of this 107-nucleotide non-coding RNA. Lineage: Eukaryota; Metazoa; Cnidaria; Anthozoa; Malacalcyonacea; Plexauridae. The record is from the annotation of a GenBank genome assembly.
GGACGUCAAUGUUAAGUUGUUGGGCUAUAUCUCUGAGAUGAGAAAUAAUUGUAAGAAAUUAUUUCUCAUCUCAGAGAUAUAGCCCAACAACUUAACAUUGACGUCCU